AGGCCAGUGGCAUCGGCUCAGA
This 22-nucleotide unclassified non-coding RNA is filed under the name Mus musculus (house mouse). Its description in RNAcentral is "oocyte_clustered_small_RNA12640". The record is from RNAcentral. Lineage: Eukaryota; Metazoa; Chordata; Mammalia; Rodentia; Muridae.